AAAUUCGGGAUCAGUUAUUGGAUUGAAGUGGUGAGCUUCCAUACUCUGGAAGGCUCCAUUUCAUAUCAUGGACAUCUUUUCAUUCUUUGGUUAUUUUAUGGAUAUUGGUUUUGUCUAUAGUUGGGGGCAUAUCCCAAUCGGAUAUUGUUUUUCUUUUGGUUAGAGGCUUUUUAGAACUACUAUGGGUUGGAGUGCACAGUGUAAGUAGUGGUGCUAGCCUUAGUAUUGGUAUUGGUAUUGGGGUUGAUACAGUUUGGUUAAAUUUAUGAUUGUUCCAUCCUUUUAUAUUAUGUUAUGGACAUGAACUUGG
Molecule: long non-coding RNA, 310 nt
Filed under: Capsicum annuum
Lineage: Eukaryota; Viridiplantae; Streptophyta; Magnoliopsida; Solanales; Solanaceae
Description: long non-coding RNA (CANN_LNC013972)
Source: RNAcentral